CGGAGGGCAGGCGAGCAAUCUAUGGUUAUCAAUAGUGAGUGACACGGACCGUAAAUAAUAUCAGGUGCAUAAACUAGCUAGCUAAAGUUAUGUCGUAGCUGAAGGCCAUGAAGCCCUCGGAAGCCCAGGGACGGAAAAGAAGAUAAUAGGAGGAGGAAAAAUGUGAAAAAGACGGAGAAGCACUUUUAAAAUGUUUAAAUCCAGCCCGUACUAUCCAUGGGCCAUCUGCGAACACUUCUGCUCCCUCAGCCUCUGCAAGUGAUGCUGCGUCCAUCUCUUCUCCCUUCACCUCUGCACAAAACUUAUGGGUAAGGCAAAAUGUUGCUGCGCCGCGGACUUCGGAAGCAGGAGGAUUUCUCCGUCGUCUCUGAUUCCAAAAGUGGCCAUGGUGUCUGGGAAAGUGCAGCUGCAGGAUACUGGUAAGUU
Long non-coding RNA from Etheostoma spectabile (orangethroat darter), 426 nucleotides. RefSeq lists it as uncharacterized. The transcript has 3 exons. The record is from RefSeq and is a predicted model, not a curated record. NCBI's taxonomy places the organism in Eukaryota, Metazoa, Chordata, Actinopteri, Perciformes, Percidae.